RNAcentral lists this ribosomal RNA (252 nucleotides) under uncultured bacterium. RNAcentral's name for it is "partial 16S ribosomal RNA". It matches the Rfam family "Bacterial small subunit ribosomal RNA", at positions 524 to 776 of the family's 1533-position model. The record is from RNAcentral.
UACAGGGGGGCAAGCGUUGUUCGGAAUUACUGGGCGUAAAGGGCGCGUAGGCGGCCCGCUAAGUCGAACGUGAAAUCCCCGAGCUCAACUCGGGAACUGCGUCCGAUACUGGCGGGCUUGAAUCCGGGAGAGGGAUGCGGAAUUCCAGGUGUAGCGGUGAAAUGCGUAGAUAUCUGGAGGAACACCGGUGGCGAAGGCGGCAUCCUGGACCGGCAUUGACGCUGAGGCGCGAAAGCUAGGGGAGCAAACAGG